GCAUGCCUUACACAUGCAAGUCGAACGGUAACAGGUCUUCGGAUGCUGACGAGUGGCGAACGGGUGAGUAAUACAUCGGAACGUGCCCGAGAGUGGGGGAUAACGAAGCGAAAGCUUUGCUAAUACCGCAUACGAUCUCAGGAUGAAAGCAGGGGACCGCAAGGCCUUGCGCUCACGGAGCGGCCGAUGGCAGAUUAGGUAGUUGGUGGGAUAAAAGCUUACCAAGCCGACGAUCUGUAGCUGGUCUGAGAGGACGACCAGCCACACUGGGACUGAGACACGGCCCAGACUCCUACGGGAGGCAGCAGUGGGGAAUUUUGGACAAUGGGCGCAAGCCUGAUCCAGCCAUGCCGCGUGCAGGAUGAAGGCCUUCGGGUUGUAAACUGCUUUUGUACGGAACGAAAAGACCCUGGUUAAUACCUGGGGUCCAUGACGGUACCGUAAGAAUAAGCACCGGCUAACUACGUGCCAGCAGCCGCGGUAAUACGUAGGGUGCGAGCGUUAAUCGGAAUUACUGGGCGUAAAGCGUGCGCAGGCGGUUAUGUAAGACAGAUGUGAAAUCCCCGGGCUCAACCUGGGAACUGCAUUUGUGACUGCAUAGCUAGAGUACGGCAGAGGGGGAUGGAAUUCCGCGUGUAGCAGUGAAAUGCGUAGAUAUGCGGAGGAACACCGAUGGCGAAGG
RNAcentral lists this ribosomal RNA (682 nucleotides) under uncultured beta proteobacterium. Its description in RNAcentral is "bacterial SSU rRNA". It matches the Rfam family "Bacterial small subunit ribosomal RNA", at positions 42 to 721 of the family's 1533-position model. Lineage: Bacteria; Pseudomonadati; Pseudomonadota; Betaproteobacteria. The record is from RNAcentral.